Molecule: small RNA, 107 nt
Filed under: Arabidopsis thaliana (thale cress)
Lineage: Eukaryota; Viridiplantae; Streptophyta; Magnoliopsida; Brassicales; Brassicaceae
Description: ATSL178060
Source: RNAcentral
CCAUCAAUGGCUUCACGAGGAGUCUUGAAGCCCAAACCAAUGUUCUUCCAGAAACGGUUUCCACCUUUUCCAGGUCUCUUUCCCUUUCCAGAUUUCUUCGAGCUUGA